Long non-coding RNA from Oncorhynchus keta (chum salmon), 1024 nucleotides. RefSeq lists it as uncharacterized. The transcript has 3 exons. The record is from RefSeq and is a predicted model, not a curated record. Lineage: Eukaryota; Metazoa; Chordata; Actinopteri; Salmoniformes; Salmonidae.
ACAAAAUGUAAAAAAUAUUCCUUAAUAAGGAAUUUGAAAUGAUUUAUACUUGAUUCUUAAGUAUAUUUAAACAAAAUACUUUCCCUCAAGUAGGAUUUUACUGGGUACUUUUUCCACCACUGGUACCAUGUAAGAGUAAAUGUUGUAACAUAGCCGACAGCCAGACAACAUCAUCAAGGUGUGUUUGAAGUCAUGAAAGGUGACUAACGGUUAUUCUGAUUGACUAAAUGAAUAGCAAUUUCCUGUCAUAGUUUGACUCAACUUGUCUACACAUUCAUGGUGAAUGUAUAGACUGCAAUCACACUUACUUAGUUGUGAUAAUUUAAUCGUCAUAGUGAAUUAACAAAAACAUUUUUCAACGGUGCUUCUGGACAGGGAAGGUGUAAUCAUUUUUCAACGGUGCUUCUGGACAGGGAAGGUGUAAUCAUUUUUCAACGGUGCUUCUGGACAGGGAAGGUGUAAUCAUUUUUCAACGGUGCUUCUGGACAGGGAAGGUGUAAUCAUUUUUCAACGGUGCUUCUGGACAGGGAAGGUGUAAUCAUUUUUCAACGGUGCUUCUGGACAGGGAAGGUGUAAUCAUUUUUAAACCAUUUGUUACCUUUCACUACCUUUAGAUAAAAAAGUACUUCAGAGUAGAACCUUAAAGUUAAAUCAAGAGAAAAUGUCACCAUUACGAUUCUUGCUGAGCUGGAACAGACCAACAGUUUUAGAGUGUUAAUAAUAAUUGUAAAAAGGUUAGGAAUAAUAUUUUUUUUUUUUUAAAGGUUUCAAAUCAUUUCACAUUUUGUUCCCACAUUCAUUCAUUUUAUGGUUUUCGCACGUUAUUCCAAAUGCUUGUAUCACAAGAAUCUAGUUGUGUUUUUCGUUUUUAUGAGUGUUUAUGUCCGCUUGUUCUCAUGUUGUCUUUUGUGUCGUCGUCGCCACCUUCCCAUUAACACACACCAAGCCCCUCCAUAAGCCCCUACACAUAUUUUGCAGAUGUUAGCAGGUGUAGCAAAAUGUUGAUGUUCUUCCAACAGUUCUU